Molecule: ribosomal RNA, 492 nt
Filed under: uncultured bacterium
Lineage: Bacteria
Description: partial 16S ribosomal RNA
Rfam family: Bacterial small subunit ribosomal RNA
Source: RNAcentral
AGUGAACGCUGGCGGUAGGCCUAACACAUGCCAGUCGAACGGCAGCACAGUAAGAGCUUGCUCUUACGGGUGGCGAGUGGCGGACGGGUGAGGAAUACAUCGGAAUCUACUUUUUCGUGGGGGAUAACGUAGGGAAACUUACGCUAAUACCGCAUACGACCUACGGGUGAAAGCAGGGGAUCUUCGGACCUUGCGCGAUUGAAUGAGCCGAUGUCGGAUUAGCUAGUUGGCGGGGUAAAGGCCCACCAAGGCGACGAUCCGUAGCUGGUCUGAGAGGAUGAUCAGCGACACUGGAACUGAGACACGGUCCAGACUCCUACGGGAGGCAGCAGUGGGGAAUAUUGGACAAUGGGCGCAAGCCUGAUCCAGCCAUACCGCGUGGGUGAAGAAGGCCUUCGGGUUGUAAAGCCCUUUUGUUGGGAAAGAAAAGCAGCAGGUUAAUACCCCGCUGUUCUGACGGUACCCAAAGAAUAAGCACCGGCUAACUUCGUG